GCGGGUGUAGUUUAGUGGUAGAACGUGAGCUUCCCAAGCUUGAGGUGAGGGUUCGAUUCCCUCCAUCCGCACCA
Molecule: transfer RNA, 74 nt
Filed under: Akkermansiaceae bacterium
Lineage: Bacteria; Pseudomonadati; Verrucomicrobiota; Verrucomicrobiia; Verrucomicrobiales; Akkermansiaceae
Description: tRNA-Gly
Rfam family: tRNA
About the family: Transfer RNA (tRNA) molecules are approximately 80 nucleotides in length.
Source: RNAcentral